This 85-nucleotide transfer RNA is filed under the name Planctomycetia bacterium. Its description in RNAcentral is "tRNA-Ser". It matches the Rfam family "tRNA". From Rfam's summary of the family: Transfer RNA (tRNA) molecules are approximately 80 nucleotides in length. The record is from RNAcentral. Lineage: Bacteria; Pseudomonadati; Planctomycetota; Planctomycetia.
GGAAGGUAGCCGGAUAAGGCUUGCCGGACCUGUUUGCUAAACAGUGUUCCCUUGAGGAGUGAGGGUUCGAAUCCCUUGCCUUCCG